This 497-nucleotide ribosomal RNA is filed under the name uncultured bacterium. RNAcentral describes it as "partial 16S ribosomal RNA". It matches the Rfam family "Bacterial small subunit ribosomal RNA", at positions 28 to 507 of the family's 1533-position model. The record is from RNAcentral.
GAUGAACGCUGGCGGCGUGCCUAAUACAUGCAAGUCGAGCGAACGGACGAGAAGCUUGCUUCUCUGAUGUUAGCGGCGGACGGGUGAGUAACACGUGGAUAACCUACCUAAAAGACUGGGAUAACUUCGGGAAACCGUAGCUAAUACCGGAUAAUAUUUUGAACCGCAUGGUUCAAAAGUGAAAGACGGUCUUGCUGUCACUUAUAGAUGGAUCCGCGCUGCAUUAGCUAGUUGGUAAGGUAACGGCUUACCAAGGCAACGAUGCAUAGCCGACCUGAGAGGGUGAUCGGCCACACUGGAACUGAGACACGGUCCAGACUCCUACGGGAGGCAGCAGUAGGGAAUCUUCCGCAAUGGGCGAAAGCCUGACGGAGCAACGCCGCGUGAGUGAUGAAGGUCUUCGGAUCGUAAAACUCUGUUAUUAGGGAAGAACAUAUGUGUAAGUAACUGUGCACAUCUUGACGGUACCUAAUCAGAAAGCCACGGCUAACUACGUG